GAUGAACGCUGGCGGCGUGCCUAAUACAUGCCAGUCGAGCGAACGGACGAGAAGCUUGCUUCUCUGAUGUUAGCGGCGGACGGGUGAGUAACACGUGGAUAACCUACCUAUAAGACUGGGAUAACUUCGGGAAACCGGAGCUAAUACCGGAUGAUAUUUUGAACCGCAUGGUUCAAAAGUGAAAGACGGUCUUGCUGUCACUUAUAGAUGGAUCCGCGCUGCAUUAGCUAGUUGGUAAGGUAACGGCUUACCAAGGCAACGAUGCGUAGCCGACCUGAGAGGGUGAUCGGCCACACUGGAACUGAGACACGGUCCAGACUCCUACGGGAGGCAGCAGUAGGGAAUCUUCCGCAAUGGGCGAAAGCCUGACGGAGCAACGCCGCGUGAGUGAUGAAGGUCUUCGGAUCGUAAAACUCUGUUAUUAGGGAAGAACAUAUGUGUAAGUAACUGUGCACAUCUUGACGGUACCUAAUCAGAAAGCCACGGCUAACUACGUG
RNAcentral lists this ribosomal RNA (497 nucleotides) under uncultured bacterium. Its description in RNAcentral is "partial 16S ribosomal RNA". It matches the Rfam family "Bacterial small subunit ribosomal RNA", at positions 28 to 507 of the family's 1533-position model. The record is from RNAcentral.